RNAcentral lists this unclassified non-coding RNA (255 nucleotides) under plant metagenome. RNAcentral's name for it is "partial contains small subunit ribosomal RNA, internal transcribed spacer 1, and 5.8S ribosomal RNA". The stretch from base 1 to 54 matches the Rfam family "Eukaryotic small subunit ribosomal RNA", at positions 1778 to 1831 of the family's 1831-position model. The record is from RNAcentral.
GGAUGUAAAAGUCGUAACAAGGUUUCCGUAGGUGAACCUGCGGAAGGAUCAUUAUUGGAUUUUGAAACUUCAGGCUGCUGCUGGCUCUCCUCGGAGGGCAUGUGCACGCUUGUUGUCCAUUAUUUCUCCCACUGUGCACAAAUUGUAGACCUUUCAGUAGGCCUAUGUUGUUUUUCACAAUCUCUGAAUGUAAUAGAAUGGUUUUGAAUCUUGGGAAAUACAAUACAACUUUCAGCAACGGAUCUCUUGGCUCUC